AAACUUAAAGGAAUUGACGGGACCGCACAAGCGGUGGAUGAUGUGGUUAAUUCGAUGCAACGCGAAAACCUUACCACCUUUGACAUGUACGGAAGCCUUUAGAGAUAGAGGCGUGCUCGAAAGAGAGCCGUAACACAGGUGCUGCAUGGCUGUCGUCAGCUCGUGUCGUGAGAUGUUGGGUUAAGUCCCGCAACGAGCGCAACCCUUGUCAUUAGUUGCUACAUUCAGUUGGGCACUCUAAUGAGACUGCCGGUGACAAGCCGGAGGAAGGUGGGGAUGACGUCAAGUCCUCAUGGCCCUUAUAGGUGGGGCUACACACGUCAUACAAUGGCUGGUACAAAGGGUUGCCAACCCGCGAGGGGGAGCUAAUCCCAUAAAGCCAGUCGUAGUCCGGAUCGUAGUCUGCAACUCGACUACGUGAAGUCGGAAUCGCUAGUAAUCGUGGAUCAGAAUGUCACGGUGAAUACGUUCCCGGGUCUU
RNAcentral lists this ribosomal RNA (480 nucleotides) under uncultured Rhodoferax sp. RNAcentral's name for it is "bacterial SSU rRNA". It matches the Rfam family "Bacterial small subunit ribosomal RNA", at positions 897 to 1382 of the family's 1533-position model. The record is from RNAcentral. Lineage: Bacteria; Pseudomonadati; Pseudomonadota; Betaproteobacteria; Burkholderiales; Comamonadaceae.